AUGAAGGUGAACAUCUUCUGCUGCCUGUUAGUCUGCACUCUGGGCUCUAAUGUCACUGCUGGUUUAACCCAUGAAGUAUUUAAGGAGGGGACACAGCUCACUCUGCGCUGUCCUCACUCUGUGGAGGGUAAAGUGAGGUGGAGCAGAGAGAGUGGAGGAAGCAGAGCUGACAUACUUACAGCUGAUGGAGACGGAAAUAUAAAACACAUCAAUGAUUCACAGAAACGAUACAGUUCACUGGCUGAUCGAUCUCUGAUCAUCGUCAGAGCUUCUGUCUCAGACUCUGGCAGAUACUUCUGUAACCAUGAAGCAGCUGUGGAGCUGACAGUGAUCCCAUCAGGAACUAAAAUAGUGAGUGUUGCAGAGAGGAGCAGCAUCACUCUGAACUGUUCUCAUGAUGUUGGAGGAUCAGCUGUUCCCACAUGGAGACGAGACUCUGGAGAAAUAAAUGAAGGAAGGAUUUCUGUUUCCACUGAGGACAAAACAUUAAGUAUAAGAGAAGCUGAGCCUGCUGACUCUGGACUGUACUACUGUGAUGGAAAACCAGCUGUUUAUCUGAAUGUGACCAAAGGACAGAGAUCUGACAGAGAAAAUAAGACAACAACAACAACACCAACAACAACAACAACAACACCAACUACUGCUACAACUCAUAAAGCAUCAGUAACACCUGCAUCACCCACUGAGGCUCCAUCAGCUUUUCCAGUGCAGAGUUUCCUGAUUGGAACUGGUCUUCUUCUUCUCUCCACCCUCAUCCUCAUCACUGUCUACUUCAUUUGGAGAUGCAGGUCCAACAGACGAGGUGAGUAA
Molecule: long non-coding RNA, 810 nt
Filed under: Oreochromis niloticus (Nile tilapia)
Lineage: Eukaryota; Metazoa; Chordata; Actinopteri; Cichliformes; Cichlidae
Description: lncRNA (ENSONIG00000031975.1)
Source: RNAcentral